AUAUCAAUGUGAUUUUAUUCACAACACAAAUUCCAUUUGUGAGAAAGAAGCAUAGAUUACUCCUCUUUAGAAAGAUAUUUACUAUCAAGCAUACUUAGCAAAUUAUUUAGCUAUCUAAAAAGAUCUGAUACCAAUCCACUACAGAAGAAAAAUAAGCAAUAUUGAGCCAUAAGGGACCCAGUUACAUAGUAUUAAAUAAUAUCUGAAACUAUUUUGAAAGACAACCAGACAAAAUACUUUUUCCAAAGUGAAAACCACAGCCUAUAGAUUUGGAAAAUUUUACAGAAAAGAAUAGCUCAUGCCUGUCCUAUGAGGCAACACCAUUUGUAUACAAGUGCCAAGAAGUAAGGAGAAAGUUAGGAUUUUAGCUGAGGAAUCUACUAAAGCCUGGCAUGUGGCAUUUUCUUCAUUAGUGCCACUGAAAGCAGUCUCUGUGUUGCACCUGAAUACACUUUAU
This 457-nucleotide long non-coding RNA is filed under the name Bos taurus (domestic cattle). RNAcentral's name for it is "long non-coding RNA NONBTAT026993". The record is from RNAcentral. Lineage: Eukaryota; Metazoa; Chordata; Mammalia; Artiodactyla; Bovidae.